UACGUAGGGGGCAAGCGUUGUCCGGAUUUAUUGGGCGUAAAGCGCGUGUAGGCGGCCAGAUAGGUCUGCUGUGAAAACUCGAGGCUCAACCUCGAGCUGUCGGCGGAAACCAUCUGGCUAGAGUCCGGAAGAGGAGAGUGGAAUUCCUGGUGUAGCGGUGAAAUGCGUAGAUAUCUGGAGGAACACCGGUGGCGAAGGCGGCAUCCUGGACCAACACUGACGCUGAGUGAGCGAAAGCCAGGGGAGCAAACGGG
Molecule: ribosomal RNA, 254 nt
Filed under: uncultured bacterium
Lineage: Bacteria
Description: partial 16S ribosomal RNA
Rfam family: Bacterial small subunit ribosomal RNA
Source: RNAcentral